This 468-nucleotide ribosomal RNA is filed under the name uncultured bacterium. Its description in RNAcentral is "partial 16S ribosomal RNA". It matches the Rfam family "Bacterial small subunit ribosomal RNA", at positions 28 to 507 of the family's 1533-position model. The record is from RNAcentral.
GACGAACGCUGGCGGCGUGCUUAACACAUGCAAGUCGAACGGAAAGGCCCUGCUUUUGUGGGGUGCUCGAGUGGCGAACGGGUGAGUAACACGUGAGUAACCUGCCCUUGACUUUGGGAUAACUUCAGGAAACUGGGGCUAAUACCGGAUAGGAGCUCCUGCUGCAUGGUGGGGGUUGGAAAGUUUCGGCGGAUGGGGAUGGACUCGCGGCUUAUCAGCUUGUUGGUGGGGUAGUGGCUUACCAAGGCUUUGACGGGUAGCCGGCCUGAGAGGGUGACCGGCCACAUUGGUACUGCGAUACGGCCCAGACUCCUACGGGAGGCAGCAGUGGGGAAUAUUGCACAAUGGGCGGAAGCCUGAUGCAGCAACGCCGCGUGCGUGAUGACGGCCUUCGGGUUGUAAACCGCUUUCGCCUGUGACGAAGCUUGAGUGACGGUAAUGGGUAAAGAAGCACCGGCUAACUACGUG